This 502-nucleotide ribosomal RNA is filed under the name uncultured bacterium. Its description in RNAcentral is "bacterial SSU rRNA". It matches the Rfam family "Bacterial small subunit ribosomal RNA", at positions 15 to 518 of the family's 1533-position model. The record is from RNAcentral.
GAUUAUGGCUCAGGAUGAACGCUGGCGGCGUGCCUAACACAUGCAAGUCGAACGGGGUUACUGGCAGCGGAGAUUCGGUCAAAGCAGCCUUAAUCUAGUGGCGACGGGUGAGUAACGCGUGGGGAACCUGCCCUGUACUGGGGGAUAACAGUGAGAAAUCACUGCUAAUACCGCAUAAGCGCACAGCAUCGCAUGAUGCAGUGUGAAAAACUGAGGUGGUACAGGAUGGCUCCGCGUUGGAUUAGCCAGUUGGCGGGGUAACGGCCCACCAAAGCGACGAUCCAUAGCCGGCCUGAGAGGGUGAACGGCCACAUUGGGACUGAGACACGGCCCAGACUCCUACGGGAGGCAGCAGUGGGGAAUAUUGCACAAUGGGGGAAACCCUGAUGCAAGCGACGCCGCGUGAAGGAAGAAGUAUCUCGGUAUGUAAACUUCUAUCAGCAGGGAAGAUGAUGACGGUACCUGACUAAGAAGCCCCGGCUAACUACGUGCCAGCAGCCGC